Molecule: long non-coding RNA, 219 nt
Filed under: Anas platyrhynchos platyrhynchos (common mallard)
Lineage: Eukaryota; Metazoa; Chordata; Aves; Anseriformes; Anatidae
Description: lncRNA (ENSAPLG00000024371.1)
Source: RNAcentral
GGAAGUUAUUAUUAGCCAGUGGGCUAAUAGUAAAACAUGCUGAAAUACAAGGAAAGGAACAGGCAAAACUCUGAUAAUCCACAAUACCAUAGCUUUCAUGUGCUGGGGCACUGUGCCAGUGUUGCAACUGCUGCAGAAGUGAUGAAGAAAGAUGAAAGUCUAUACACGCCCUUCCAGUGUAAAAUCAAAAGGAGGAACAAAUAAGUCCAAGAAUUUCAC